UAAAAGUCGUAACAAGGUUUCCGUAGGUGAACCUGCGGAAGGAUCAUUAUCGAGUUUUGAAAGUAAGGCUUGAUGCUGGUGCGGAAACGUACAUGUGCUCAGUCUUGCGCUCAUUCCACUCAACCCCUGUGCACUUAUCGAAGUUAGUAGUCGUUCCUCCUUUUAAGGAGCCGUCCAAGUGUCGCAAGUAUUCUUUAGAGUCUUUAUUAAUAUUGACUUUGAAGGAGAAAGUGUUACUUUGACUAGGAGCGGUGAAACCUUUGACUUAUUAUAAACCUUUACUUGUCUUGUAGAAUGUAAUGCUCCUCGUGGGCGAAAUUAAAUACAACUUUCAACAACGGAUCUCUUGGCUCUCGCAUCGAUGAAGAACGCAGCGAAAUGCGAUAAGUAAUGUGAAUUGCAGAAUUCAGUGAAUCAUCGAAUCUUUGAACGCACCUUGCGCCCUUUGGUAUUCCGAAGGGCAUGCCUGUUUGAGUGUCAUGUUAAUCUCAAUCCCCUUGUUUCUUAAUUGAGGCUUGGAGAUUGGACUUUGGAGGCUUGCUGGUCCCCCUUUGUGGUCGGCUCCUCUUAAAUACAUUAGCUGGACUUUGGUUCGCGUGAAGGUGUAAUAGUUUAUUCGCCAUUAGCGCAUGCCUAACGGGUCUGCUUCUAAUCGUCUUCGGACAAGGAUUAACUUCCUUCUUGACUCUUUGACCUCAAAUCAGGUAGGACUACCCGCUGAACUUAAGCAUAUCAAUAAGCGGAGGA
RNAcentral lists this ribosomal RNA (747 nucleotides) under uncultured Hymenochaete. Its description in RNAcentral is "eukaryotic LSU rRNA". The stretch from base 327 to 480 matches the Rfam family "5.8S ribosomal RNA". The record is from RNAcentral. Lineage: Eukaryota; Fungi; Basidiomycota; Agaricomycetes; Hymenochaetales; Hymenochaetaceae.